GGAACAGCUCUGACCUGUACGGUGAUCAGACCUGGAGAGGAGAGACACCUGGUCCAACAAGGUGAUGGACGAGCGGUGAAGACGAACAAGACGAACCUGAAGCAGAAUCUGAAUCUGUCUGUCUUCUGUUGACAGCUCCUUCAGGUCGUGCAGUUGUGUGUUGACGACUGUUUCACCUGCUCACAGACAGUGAGCACUGUUGUCUUUACUGGCUAUUUGCAUAAUAAACCCUUUUUUUUAAUUACA
This is a long non-coding RNA of Acanthopagrus latus (yellowfin seabream), 246 nucleotides long. RefSeq lists it as uncharacterized. Lineage: Eukaryota; Metazoa; Chordata; Actinopteri; Spariformes; Sparidae. The record is from RefSeq and is a predicted model, not a curated record. The transcript is spliced from 2 exons.